Astatotilapia calliptera (eastern happy) is the source of this 408-nucleotide long non-coding RNA. NCBI's taxonomy places the organism in Eukaryota, Metazoa, Chordata, Actinopteri, Cichliformes, Cichlidae. The record is from Ensembl.
CACAUGACCUGGAUGACUGAACCUACAGACAUAUUGACCUGGUUUCAUGGUCACAUGACAGAUUGACUGAAGAUGAUGAUGGAGGAAGAGGAGGACAGAGCAGAGUCUGCAGUGUCCAGCUGUCCGUCUGUGAGGAGCGACCGGUCCAAAGGUCUAAAUCCAGACUUCAGUGGUGAACCUGGAGCAACGAGAGGUCAGAGGUCACAGUCUGCAGGGUCCAGCUGUCCAUCUGUGAGGAGUGACCGGUCCAAACGUAGCAAUCCACUCUUCAGUGGUGAACCUGGAGCAACGAGGUCAGAGAGCUGUGAUGACUCCUUUACAUGUUUGUGUUUCCUGGAUAAAUAUGACCUGAAACAUCCUCAGAUUGUUACAAAGAUUCAUUAAAAAGAAAACAAUGAAAGAGAAAAG